RNAcentral lists this ribosomal RNA (635 nucleotides) under Parviterribacter sp. RNAcentral describes it as "bacterial SSU rRNA". It matches the Rfam family "Bacterial small subunit ribosomal RNA", at positions 130 to 752 of the family's 1533-position model. Lineage: Bacteria; Bacillati; Actinomycetota; Thermoleophilia; Solirubrobacterales; Parviterribacteraceae. The record is from RNAcentral.
CCUGAUGAUUGGGACAACCCCGGGAAACCGGGGCUAAUACCAAAUGUGCUCUUUCCACAUCAGUGGAUCGAGGAAAGGAGGCUUCGGCUUCCGCAUCGGGAUGAGCCCGCGGCCCAUUAGCUUGUUGGUGGGGUAACGGCCUACCAAGGCUCCGAUGGGUAGCUGGUCUGAGAGGACGAUCAGCCACACUGGGACUGAGACACGGCCCAGACUCCUACGGGAGGCAGCAGUGGGGAAUCUUGCGCAAUGCGCGAAAGCGUGACGCAGCAACGCCGCGUGAGGGAAGACGGCCUUCGGGUUGUAAACCUCUUUCAGUUGGGACGAAGCCUCUGCGGUUAAUACCCGUAUGAGGUGACGGUACCUUCAGAAGAAGCCCCGGCUAACUACGUGCCAGCAGCCGCGGUAAUACGUAGGGGGCAAGCGUUGUCCGGAAUCAUUGGGCGUAAAGCGCGUGUAGGCGGCUUGGUAAGUCCGCUCUGAAAGCCCGGGGCUCAACCCCGGGAGGCGGGUGGAUACUGUCAAGCUCGAGUCCGGAAGAGGCGAGUGGAAUUCCUGGUGUAGCGGUGAAAUGCGCAGAUAUCAGGAGGAACACCAAUGGCGAAGGCAGCUCGCUGGGACGUGACUGACGCUGAGAC